This is a long non-coding RNA of Macrobrachium nipponense, 592 nucleotides long. RefSeq lists it as uncharacterized. The record is from RefSeq and is a predicted model, not a curated record. The transcript has 4 exons. Lineage: Eukaryota; Metazoa; Arthropoda; Malacostraca; Decapoda; Palaemonidae.
CGGGACAUUCCUCCGCUCCGGGGUUGACAUGCACGGACGCCGCCGCUUCCCCUUAUGAUCACAAGUUCAGAACCGGUUGAAUCUCAAUUGAAGCCGGAGACAAAGCGUCGCAGAUGACACGCUCUUCAUCAAUUGCAUUGGGUUAUAUUUCGUGAGUCGCGACUUCUGCUGAAGGGGAACCCUUAAGCCAUCACAACUGAAACUCCACAUUGCACUUGAACCACGUUGCUGUUCCUGGUUCCUAAGCACUCACUCCGCAAACUCAGUUACGAGCAGCAGACGACUACACUCUUUAUGAGGAGACGUUGACCUGAAACUUGGACCUGUUACUCAUUACAGUAAGAAAAAUUGCCAAUUUAGUACUUGAUGAAAAAUUGCCAUUCAGUACUUGAUGAAAGUUUGUUGACCUCCAGACUUGUGCCUGUAACUCUGGAUUAUUUUAACUGUGACUUGUUCCUCUGCAGGAAUUCACUUCCAUAUCAUCUGAGAGACUUGGUGAGUAGCUGAGUAAAAUGUAUUAUGGUACAUCAUUCCUUCCCAACCAGGUAAUGGUUUGAAUCCCACAGGUUACGAAGCCAUUAUUUUUAAAUAU